UACGACCACAUCACGUUGAAACACCGCUUUGUGCGAUCACGGAAGUUAAGUAACGUCGAGCCUGGUUAGUAUUUUGUUGGGUGACCGCUUGGGAAAACCACCUGUUGUAA
Molecule: non-coding RNA, 110 nt
Organism: Acanthosepion pharaonis
Lineage: Eukaryota; Metazoa; Mollusca; Cephalopoda; Sepiida; Sepiidae
Source: the annotation of a GenBank genome assembly